UACGGGGGGAGCAAACGUUGUUCGGAAUUACUGGGCGUAAAGGGCGUGCAGGCGGUCCUGUAAGAGAGGUGUGAAAUGCCCUGGCUCAACCAGGGACAUGCACCUCUGACUGCAGGACUUGAGUAUAGGAGAGGAUGGGGGAAUUCCCGGUGUAGCGGUGAAAUGCAUUGAUAUCGGGAGGAACACCAGUGGCGAAGGCGCCCAUCUGGCCUAAUACUGACGCUCAGGCGCGAAAGCUAGGGGAGCAAAC
RNAcentral lists this ribosomal RNA (250 nucleotides) under uncultured bacterium. RNAcentral describes it as "partial 16S ribosomal RNA". It matches the Rfam family "Bacterial small subunit ribosomal RNA", at positions 524 to 773 of the family's 1533-position model. The record is from RNAcentral.